RNAcentral lists this long non-coding RNA (500 nucleotides) under Salmo salar (Atlantic salmon). RNAcentral's name for it is "lncRNA (ENSSSAG00000090945.1)". Lineage: Eukaryota; Metazoa; Chordata; Actinopteri; Salmoniformes; Salmonidae. The record is from RNAcentral.
UUUUUUUUCUCUCUCCCUCUCUCUCCUGGGAUCCCAGCAUGGCCUAAUUGAGGGGCGCCCCUCAGUGCUGGGGUGAUGACAAGAGGCUUGCCCUUCAGUGUCGGGGUGAUGACGAAAGGGGCGCCUCUCAGUGUCGGGGUGAUGACAAGAGGGGCGCCUCUCAGUGUCAGGGUGAUGACGAGAGGGGCGCCUCUCAGUGUCGGGGUGAUGACGAGAGGGGCGCCUCUCAGUGUCGGGGUGAUGACGAGAGGCUUGCCCUUCAGUGUCGGGGUGAUGAUGAGAGGCUUGCCCCUCAGUGUCGGGGUGAUGACGAGAGGGGCGCCUCUCAGUGUCGGGGUGAUGACGAGAGGCUUGCCCUUCAGUGUCGGGGUGAUGAUGAGAGGCUUGCCCUUCAGUGUCAGUGUGAUGAUGAGAGGCUUGCCCUUCAGUGUCGGGGUGAUGAUGAGAGGCUUGCCCCUCAGUGUCGGGGUGAUGACGAGAGGCUUGCCCCUCAGUGUCGG